Molecule: long non-coding RNA, 460 nt
Filed under: Trifolium pratense (red clover)
Lineage: Eukaryota; Viridiplantae; Streptophyta; Magnoliopsida; Fabales; Fabaceae
Description: long non-coding RNA (TPRA_LNC011424)
Source: RNAcentral
CUUAGCUCAGUGGUAGGGACAUCACACUAUAUGUGCAGGAGUCCGUGUUCGAACUAGGGACACUCCACUUAUUCACUUUUAAAGUGGAUUUUCUAGUCACUAAGUUACUUGAAAAAAAAAACAAAAAAAAAAGAAAGAAAAUUGGAUAUGAAGACCAUUGUGAUAUAUCAAAAUUAAGAUAUAGAAGAAGAAACUGUAGAUAAUAUUUUUCAUAGUCUAUGUCAUUUAUCUUGCAUUAUCUUAAAGUACAAAACUAACAAGGUAAGUGAAAUUAGAAAAGGUAAAAGAAAACUCAUUUAAUAGGUGAUCACAAUCCUAAAUAAGAAAUUGUGGAAUAUUCUAGUAGUAGUGUGAUUUUGUUUUAAUUAUUUUGGGUGUGACAAUCAUAUAUAUAAUCCAUAAAGCUAUAAUUAUUGUCAUGUACAAAAACCAUUACGACACCUCAGUUUUUUAGGAUUUG